RNAcentral lists this long non-coding RNA (245 nucleotides) under Lathyrus oleraceus (garden pea). RNAcentral's name for it is "Pisum sativum (pea) long non-coding RNA (PSAT_LNC008866)". The record is from RNAcentral. Lineage: Eukaryota; Viridiplantae; Streptophyta; Magnoliopsida; Fabales; Fabaceae.
AAUUAAAAUAAAUAAAUAAAUAAAAUAUAACAAAUUAUUUUGGACUUGGGUCUCCCUCAUUCCAAGCCCAUUACCCACAAAAUUAGUCUAUAAAUACUGAAGUUUCAGUAGAGAAAAGGACUGGGAGUUAGACUUAGAGUUUACACUGGGAGAUUCACUGGAGAAAGAAGGAAGAGAAGCAAAACACUCUGAGGUUUCCUUGGAACAAAACCUUGAGGAAAAAGAAAGAGAGAGAACAGAGAAGG